CCUACGGGAGACAGCAGUGGGGAAUAUUGGGCAAUGGAGGCAACUCUUACCCAGCAAUGCCGCGUGAAUGAAGAAGGUCUUCGGAUUGUAAAGUUCUUUAAUUGGGGACGAAAAAAAUGACGGUACCCAAGGAAUAAGCCCCGGCUAACUACGUGCCAGCAGCCGCGGUAAUACGUAGGGGGCAAGCGUUGUUCGGAAUGACUGGGCGUAAAGGGUGUGUAGGCGGUGUAGCAAGUUAGAAGUGAAAUACCUAGGGCUUAACUCAGGUGCUGCUUCUAAAACUGCUAUACUUGAGUGCAGUAGAGGAAAGUGGAAUUCCUAGUGUAGCGGUGAAAUGCGUAGAUAUUAGGAGGAACACCAGUGGCGAAGGCGGCCUGCUGGGCUUUUACUGACGCUGAGGCUCGAAAGUGUGGGGAGCAAACAGGAUUAGAUACCCGUGUAGUC
RNAcentral lists this ribosomal RNA (444 nucleotides) under uncultured bacterium. RNAcentral describes it as "partial 16S ribosomal RNA". It matches the Rfam family "Bacterial small subunit ribosomal RNA", at positions 338 to 795 of the family's 1533-position model. The record is from RNAcentral.